CCUACGGGAGGCAGCAGUGGGGAAUAUUGCACAAUGGGGGAAACCCUGAUGCAGCAACGCCGCGUGAGUGAAGAAGUAUUUCGGUAUGUAAAGCUCUAUCAGCAGGGAAGAAGAUGACGGUACCUGAGUAAGAAGCCCCGGCUAACUACGUGCCAGCAGCCGCGGUAAUACGUAUGGGGCAAGCGUUAUCCGGAUUUACUGGGUGUAUAGGGAGCGUAGGCGGCAGGGCAAGCCUGAUGUGAAAGCCCGGGGCUCAACCCCGGGACUGCAUUGGGAACUGCCCCGCUCGAGUGCCGGAGGGGCAG
This 305-nucleotide ribosomal RNA is filed under the name uncultured bacterium. RNAcentral's name for it is "bacterial SSU rRNA". It matches the Rfam family "Bacterial small subunit ribosomal RNA", at positions 338 to 660 of the family's 1533-position model. The record is from RNAcentral.